AUGAUUCUUAUAAAAACUUGGCUCGUGCCAAAAACUUGCACUCGGUGACACAUUGGGUCGAGGCAUCCAACCGAGUCCGCCAAGGCUGUUAAAAUAACAUAUGAGUAUAAAACUCAUUUUUUUACAUUUAAAAGCACAGUCAUUCCUUGGCGUUGGCUGAGUUUCACCCUCACAUGGUGGUUCGACGUGAGGUGAACUCUAACGUUACCUUAGGAGAUACCCUUCGUGCCUCUCAUACUAAGGUAAAAUAUAACUGAGUUUACCGUGCCCCUUUAAUAGGUUGGUCCACGGAAACCCGCCCACUGCAGUAA
RNAcentral lists this long non-coding RNA (311 nucleotides) under Theobroma cacao (cacao). RNAcentral's name for it is "long non-coding RNA (TCAC_LNC004869)". Lineage: Eukaryota; Viridiplantae; Streptophyta; Magnoliopsida; Malvales; Malvaceae. The record is from RNAcentral.